AGAGAGAGAGAGAGAGAGGGACAUUCGUCAGCUUUCUCCAUUGGACAUCCCAUCCAGACCUCUGCAUCUGCAAGAAGCACCACCGCCUCUGUGUUCCCUCCUCUUCAGAUCCGCUUCCCCCAAUGGCGACGCUCGAGGCCCUCGACGUCGACGAGCCGAAGAAGGCGGCGGCGGCGGCGAAGAAGACCCAGAAGAGGAGGAGCCACGGCAGCACCCGCUUCUUCGUCCUCGUCGAUUACCUCUUCCUCUGCAUCUUCUUCUGCUUCCUCUGCUUCAUCCUCUACAAGAUGAUGGCCCGUCUCUGACGGGACCCCUCCCUCCCUCCCCACGCCCGCGCCCCCGCGCUCCUUCCCGACCGCCGCCGCGAAGGAGGUAUAGGCUUUCAGUAUGAUUUGAAUUUGAAGCUGCUGGGCACUAUGGGAUUAUGGAGAGUCAGGGCAUAUAAAUCUAUUGUGGGUUUCUUGUUGUGUAGAAAUUCCACCAGAUUGUUACAUGGAAAAUUUUGAGAAAGAUCUGUUUUAGAUGUUCUCGAGGAUUAUAUUUCUCUUUGCUUCUAUUUAGGAUCACAUUCUUUAUAUCUUUUUUGGGGGUAUUAGUUUCUACUGUUGGAGCUGAAAUAUGGCAUCAUCUUGCUUAUGGACUAGCUGCAUUGUAUUGUGUCAAGAUAAACUUCUGAAACAUGAACUAGUUGAAGGUAACUUUGGUGUAUUGGGGCUGGGAGAAUGUUGAUGAUGUAAGAUCUACAGACUAUGUAAAAGAGUCAAUUCAAUACUAACUACUGGUUAAUGUA
This is a long non-coding RNA of Syzygium oleosum, 790 nucleotides long. RefSeq lists it as uncharacterized. The transcript has 2 exons. Lineage: Eukaryota; Viridiplantae; Streptophyta; Magnoliopsida; Myrtales; Myrtaceae. The record is from RefSeq and is a predicted model, not a curated record.